Long non-coding RNA from Passer domesticus (house sparrow), 808 nucleotides. RefSeq lists it as uncharacterized. Lineage: Eukaryota; Metazoa; Chordata; Aves; Passeriformes; Passeridae. The transcript is spliced from 2 exons. The record is from RefSeq and is a predicted model, not a curated record.
GGACAGACAAUGCCAGGCUCCUUAUGGUGGCAAAAAACCAGAAAUGGUUUGUGUGUGCUGGAAAGCAUUAAUCCUCCUCCCCCUCGAGUACAAACCCAAAAUCAGCCUGGGGCUGGAGCUCCCAGCUGUUGGAGGAGCAGCUGUGUAGUCUGGGCUGUGCUCCUUUGUGUUCCUCAGCCAGGUCAGUGAGAAGUGCUCCUGUAGCAGGGCUGCCCUGUUCUCCCUUGAGCAUGAUUUUGGAUGACUGUACCAUCCCAUACCUCGAGGAGCCCAUGAGGAUCAUUGCAGCACUGUCAGCUGCUGUUGGUAAAGAGAUCGUUGCUCUGCCAUUCCAGGGGCUGUGAGAGGACUUGGGAGAAGCUGAUGGGAUCCUUCAACAGAGACCAAGUUAAGGAAGGUUUUAAAGCUUUCAUGCAGAGAUACCCUUUGGUGCCUAAAGGAGGCUGCAGGAGUCCUCUGUUUGGAUGUUCAAGUUGGAAUAUGGGAUUUUGGUGGUUUUUUUCCCUAUGUUCUCAUGACUCAGCCUUAGGCUGUCUAGCUCAGAGAGAAGGAUUUUAUCAAGUCACUCAUCUUACUAAUUUCCUUGAAAUUUUUUGCUAGUUGCAUAUGUGCCCUGCAUUUUAACACUCUGCCAGUGUAAGGGGGCAGCAGGGUUGCACACAUUGUGUUUUGUCAGUCAGGGGUAACACAGUCCAGAGCUUUUACUGAGCUUCAUGGGUGUGUGGUGGUUCAGGUGUUCAAAGAAGCACUGGAAAUGCCUCUUUAAAUCCUUCUCCAGCUACUGGAAUAAAUCAUAAAUAAACUUAAA